CUACGGGGUGCAGCAGUGAGGAAUAUUGCACAAUGGGGGGAACCCUGAUGCAGCAACGCCGCGUGGAGGAUGACGCAUUUCGGUGUGUAAACUCCUUUUAUAUGUCAAGAAAAUGACGGUAGCAUAUGAAUAAGCACCGGCUAACUCCGUGCCAGCAGCCGCGGUAAUACGGAGGGUGCAAGGUUACUCGGAAUCACUGGGCGUAAAGGACGCGUAGGCGGGUUGGAAAGUCAGGUGUGAAAUCCUACGGCUUAACUGUAGAACUGCACUUGAAACUUCUAAUCUAGAGUAUGGGAGGGGGAGAUGGAAUUAGUGGUGUAGGGGUAAAAUCCGUAGAUAUCACUAGGAAUACCUAAAGCGAAGGCGAUCUCCUGGAACAUUACUGACGCUAAGGCGUGAAAGCGUGGGGAGCAAACAGGAUUAGAUACCCCUGUAGUC
This 438-nucleotide ribosomal RNA is filed under the name uncultured bacterium. Its description in RNAcentral is "partial 16S ribosomal RNA". It matches the Rfam family "Bacterial small subunit ribosomal RNA", at positions 339 to 795 of the family's 1533-position model. The record is from RNAcentral.